RNAcentral lists this long non-coding RNA (446 nucleotides) under Equus caballus (horse). RNAcentral's name for it is "lncRNA (ENSECAG00000055279.1)". The record is from RNAcentral. Lineage: Eukaryota; Metazoa; Chordata; Mammalia; Perissodactyla; Equidae.
CAUGGAAAUAUUUCUCUGAGCUUUUCUGCCAUGAAUCCUACAUGAAGAAGGCCUUUGAUUCUCACAGGGGAAAAUCCAUUUUGCCAGAGAGCAAACUCUCUCAGCUCUCUAACUAUGCAUCUAGUCUCCAUCACUCUAAGUCAUGCACAUGAGAAGGUCUGGGAGAAAAAUUUGGCAGAUUAGCCCUGAGCUAACAUCUGCCGCCAACACUACUUUUUUGCUGAGGAAGACUGGCCCUGAGCUAACAUCCAUGCCCAUCUUCCUCUACUUUAUAUGUGAGACACCUGCCACAGCAUGGCUCCACAAGCAGUGCAGGUCUGCACCAGGGAUCUCAACCAGUGAACUCCGGGCCACCAAAGUGGAAUGUGCGAACUUAACCACUGUGCCACUGUGCUGGCCCUUCUUUAACAUUUCAUGUCUUUCUUUUUUCAAAAUGUUAUCUGGGG